Molecule: ribosomal RNA, 977 nt
Filed under: Aeromonas hydrophila
Lineage: Bacteria; Pseudomonadati; Pseudomonadota; Gammaproteobacteria; Aeromonadales; Aeromonadaceae
Description: bacterial SSU rRNA
Rfam family: Bacterial small subunit ribosomal RNA
Source: RNAcentral
UGACGUUACUCGCAGAAGAAGCACCGGCUAACUCCGUGCCAGCAGCCGCGGUAAUACGGAGGGUGCAGCGUUAAUCGGAAUUACUGGGCGUAAAGCGCACGCAGGCGGUCUGUCAAGUCGGAUGUGAAAUCCCCGGGCUCAACCUGGGAACUGCAUUCGAAACUGGCAGGCUAGAGUCUUGUAGAGGGGGGUAGAAUUCCAGGUGUAGCGGUGAAAUGCGUAGAGAUCUGGAGGAAUACCGGUGGCGAAGGCGGCCCCCUGGACAAAGACUGACGCUCAGGUGCGAAAGCGUGGGGAGCAAACAGGAUUAGAUACCCUGGUAGUCCACGCCGUAAACGAUGUCGAUUUGGAGGUUGUGCCCUUGAGGCGUGGCUUCCGGAGCUAACGCGUUAAAUCGACCGCCUGGGGAGUACGGCCGCAAGGUUAAAACUCAAAUGAAUUGACGGGGGCCCGCACAAGCGGUGGAGCAUGUGGUUUAAUUCGAUGCAACGCGAAGAACCUUACCUGGUCUUGACAUCCACAGAACUUUCCAGAGAUGGAUUGGUGCCUUCGGGAACUGUGAGACAGGUGCUGCAUGGCUGUCGUCAGCUCGUGUUGUGAAAUGUUGGGUUAAGUCCCGCAACGAGCGCAACCCUUAUCCUUUGUUGCCAGCGCGUAUCGGCCGGGAACUCAAAGGAGACUGCCAGUGAUAAACUGGAGGAAGGUGGGGAUGACGUCAAGUCAUCAUGGCCCUUACGACCAGGGCUACACACGUGCUACAAUGGCAUAUACAAAGAGAAGCGACCUCGCGAGAGCAAGCGGACCUCAUAAAGUAUGUCGUAGUCCGGAUUGGAGUCUGCAACUCGACUCCAUGAAGUCGGAAUCGCUAGUAAUCGUAGAUCAGAAUGCUACGGUGAAUACGUUCCCGGGCCUUGUACACACCGCCCGUCACACCAUGGGAGUGGGUUGCAAAAGAAGUAGGUAGCUUAACCUUCGGG